AGCAGCCGCGGUAAUUCCAGCUCCAAUAGCGUAUAUUAAAGUUGUUGCAGUUAAAAGCUCGUAGUUGAAUUUCGGGGUUAGCAGGUCGGUCGUGCCAUCGGUAUGAACUGGUCUCGCUGAUCCCUCCCUCUUGACGAACUGUGAUGCCAUUAAUUUGGUGUCGCAGGGAAUCAGGACUGUUACUUUGAAAAAUUAGAGUGUUUAAAGCAGGCUCACGCUUGAAUACAUUAGCAUGGAAUAAUGAAAUAGGACGUUUGAUCCUAUUUUGUUGGCUUCUAGGAUUGACGUAAUGAUUAAUAGGGAUAGUUGGGGGCAUUAGUAUUCAAUUGUCAGAGGUGAAAUUCUUGGAUUUAUUGAAGACUAACUACUGCGAAAGCAUUUGCCAAGGAUGUUUUCAUUAAUCAAGAACGAAAGUUAGGGAUCGAAGACGAUCAGAUACCGUGUAGUCUUAACCAUAAACUAUAGCCGACUAGGGAUCGGAUGUACGUUAAUUUUUAAUGUAUCAUUCC
RNAcentral lists this unclassified non-coding RNA (509 nucleotides) under uncultured Glomus. RNAcentral's name for it is "SSU rRNA". It matches the Rfam family "Eukaryotic small subunit ribosomal RNA", at positions 569 to 1082 of the family's 1831-position model. Lineage: Eukaryota; Fungi; Glomeromycota; Glomeromycetes; Glomerales; Glomeraceae. The record is from RNAcentral.